This 386-nucleotide ribosomal RNA is filed under the name uncultured bacterium SA17. Its description in RNAcentral is "bacterial SSU rRNA". It matches the Rfam family "Bacterial small subunit ribosomal RNA", at positions 1129 to 1515 of the family's 1533-position model. The record is from RNAcentral.
GAAAGGGCACUCUAAUGGGACUGCCGGUGACAAACCGGAGGAAGGUGGGGAUGACGUCAGGUCAUCAUGGCCCUUAUGGGUAGGGCUACACACGUCAUACAAUGGCCGGUACAGAGGGCUGCCAACCCGCGAGGGGGAGCUAAUCCCAGAAAACCGGUCGUAGUCCGGAUCGCAGUCUGCAACUCGACUGCGUGAAGUCGGAAUCGCUAGUAAUCGCGGAUCAGCAUGUCGCGGUGAAUACGUUCCCGGGUCUUGUACACACCGCCCGUCACACCAUGGGAGCGGGUUCCGCCAGAAGUAGGUAGCCUAACCGCAAGGAGGGCGCUUACCACGGCGGGGUUCGUGACUGGGGUGAAGUCGUAACAAGGUAGCCGUAGGGGAACUGC